Molecule: long non-coding RNA, 1028 nt
Organism: Helicoverpa armigera (cotton bollworm)
Lineage: Eukaryota; Metazoa; Arthropoda; Insecta; Lepidoptera; Noctuidae
Exons: 2
Source: RefSeq, a predicted model, not a curated record
UUAUGAUAUUCUAUGGCGAAUUGUAAAAGAAAUAAGCUAAUCCAUUCAGUGGUUUAGCCACAGGAGUCAUUUUUCGUUUUUCUAAUUUACAACAUCAUGUGUAAAGCAGAGAUAAAGUUAGGAGUAUCGAAUGUUUUGAUCAGUUGACAGCUGUUAGUUUUCAAGGGAGAGUUUCAAUUGUUUGGAAUGACUGACUUUUAUAUGGUGUUUUAAUUUUCGCACAUUUUUAUUCUAUUUACUUUGUUUGAAAAAUGCAUUUUUUUAUUUUUACGUAUCUUUCUUUUUCCUUUGCGCUAAUCAACAUAUAAUAACCAGUAUAUUAACGCAUUUCAUUUAAUGUGAUUGUGAACGACACACCCGAUAUAUUAUUUUAAGCAUAUCGUGUAGACGAAUAUAACACUACUACCUUUAAUCCACCUUUAAGUAGGACCUUGAAAAAACGUUAUUACAAAACGCAGUUUAUCGCAAGUCCUAUUACUAUCUGUAGUACAAAAGAUAAACCAUCGAGCCCCCUAGUUUAACUGCAGUACUUAGUCGACAAACGUCAAAUUCCGACAUUAAUUACUUUUGAGGUUAUUUGUUUUGUGAUGAAAAAAACGAAAGUGGAUAUAAAUAUGUGUGAUUUGGAAUACUUGGAUGUGUUAGAGUGCCUAUUGAGAGUGCCCGGGGACCCAACAGAAUGCGUCAUCGACAAAAUCUCUUCAAAUUACCUGACGACAAUUUUCGAUAUAAAUAUCGAUUUACGUUUUUCGAAAUAAUAGUCAAUUGAAUGCAUGAUGAUAAUCCAGGAUGAUUCUAUGAUGCUCAACUGGGCUCGCCAUAAAAUUCAAGACUAUUUUGGCGUUUUGCACGCCGUAUCUCUGCCAGUAAUAUGCAAUGUUUGUAAAAGACUGGAAGCUUGCUAAAAUGUACAAAAAUGCCUAGAUGAGAAAGGGAACAAGAUUGUGUGAUGAAGAACAGUGUCCAACAUGUAUCAGUGCAUUUGACUGUAUAAAUAGACAUCGGAAUAAAAUAUAAUUUUCUACUUU